UAUUCCUCUCCAUGUUUAUUAAACUGAACCAUCUCCUUUAACUUCCCCAACUUGAUUAUUCUGAGAUUUAGACGCUUAACUCCAUCAAUUUCAUCACAUAAAUCCCUUCAAUUCUUCAAAACCCCCUGAUUUUUGAAGAAACUGUAAUUGAAUCCAGUUUCAAUUUUCAAAUCCACAUCAUAGAGAGAGAGCGAGUAAAUAUUUUUUUUUUUUUUUUUUUUCAAUAGUUAAAUCUCUCUGUACAUCUCCAUCUCCUAUUACCUUGAAUAAAGAGAUACAUAGAUUCAUCUUGGCAUAGUGAAAGCGGUGGCGGAUUGAUGGCAAAAUCGAUUGUAGAGAAUCAUAAUCAAAAAGGGAGCGGAGGAGAGCUAAAGACGCGAAAUCAGUAAGAUUCUUGGGAUUUUGAGGUUCUGAUAUUUGUACAAGAAGACGAUUGGUUUUACAAUUGUUGCAUACUAAAUGUAAAUCUGAUGCUGGAGCUGAUGAAGAGUAUGGAGAGUUUUUGUACUUACCUAAAAGAGUUAGGCCCCUUGCUGCGAGAUUACAAACUUUUGAUUUUCCGCAACCACUUAUAAGUAUCCGCUUUUGUUUACUGGUUCUUAUUAGUUAUUUCCUCAGAACAUGGGACCUAUCUACUGAUUUUGAUAUUUGUAUAAGGAAAGUGAAUUGUCAAGUGAUUCUUGGGAUCUAUAUGGAUCUAAGAUUUUCAAACCUUGGGUUUGUAAAGAGUUGGAAAAUGAGUGACCCGUUGCUGUUAUUUUUGUUAUUGUUUUGGAGUUCAUUAAAACUACUUCACAUCAAUUAACAACAGCUCAUAGCCUCAUACCGCUGCUUCAUUCUUUAUGGCAGAGGUAAUGGUAGAUCCGAUUUAAUGCCUAUGAAGACUGAGACUUCAUGAGGGGAGAUUUAUCAGUUUUAUCACACUAAAACUGCAUCUCAGGUGUAAAUUUAACAAAUAUUUUUAUGAGAAUAUAUAUUCUUUUUUAUGCUACUCGUGAUGCAGUUUUAUUCCUGCUUCAUUGCAGGUGAAACCAGAAAGUCCUACUCUUGUUUCCUCUUCUUUUUGUUGGAAGAGACACUCAAAUUUCAUUCAUAACCUAGUUUGUUCACAAGUAUCAAUUAUGAAUAAUCAUAAAGAGAGAUUCGAGGAAUCCUCUGAAUCAUAAAUUCAUUUGUGUUUCUAACAUACACAUGGGGCUUAAUUUGUUAGAAUACAUAGAUUAUAGAGAAGAAAUAAAAGCUUCAUGAUUUUGAGCUACAGUUGAGCAAUGUAUCUAACCAGGAUGAAGGGCUUAUGGAAGCUCAACAAGGUAUAGAAGAAAUAACGGGAGAAUUGGGUAUCUCAUUCAUAAGAGUUACUGACGGUGCUAAGAUGGUUUUUAUAAGGAUCAAGGUAAUAUCAGUUGUUGACAUCCUACUAGUACUGGGCUAUAGGCACACAACCUAGGCGUAUUUGGUAUCUGCAAUUUGGAUAUUGAAAUUGCACAGUUACAAGCCAAAGUGCCAUGAACAUUUUAUCCGUGUAGGUUGUUUACUGCUGCUAACAACUAUAGGCACACUAACUAGGUGUAUUACUACUUGCUUACUUGGGUCUUAUUAGUUUACAGGACGACCCCACCAAUCUCUCUAUUCCCAGAAGUGCAAUAUUCAAAGUCUAUUUACAAGCCUGUUACUAUGUUCUUGCUUGGUGAUAGGAUAUCAUGUUCAAGGGAUAUAGGAGUGCUGAACAUCAAACAUAAGUCUACGAAGCAUAAUCCACUUUAUCAUAUUUAUAUAUUUUAUGAAUCCAUGUAUGCUAAUCUAUGCAGUGGCUUACAACAACCGAUCUUGUCUUUUCGGAAGGACGGUAUCUUUUACUGGAAGAUGUAAAUGUUACGAUCAAUUCUUCAAAAGGUUUAUAUCUUACUGAAAGUAUAUCGUCUGAUGAACAAAAGGAGCUCCGGCACCUGGAAGUUAAUUAUGUUUUGAUUUUUUUUUUCUUCUUUGUUGUUUUGAACCAGAAGUAGCUUCUAUUGUUGAAUUUGAGAUGUUUGGUUUCUCAAAGUUGUAAUUUUUCUUUUGAAGCAUCGAUUGUUACUGAAUUCAAGUUAACUUAAAUAAAAUGAU
RNA transcript from Papaver somniferum (opium poppy), 2106 nucleotides. RefSeq lists it as uncharacterized. The record is from RefSeq and is a predicted model, not a curated record. The transcript is spliced from 4 exons. NCBI's taxonomy places the organism in Eukaryota, Viridiplantae, Streptophyta, Magnoliopsida, Ranunculales, Papaveraceae.